Molecule: unclassified non-coding RNA, 255 nt
Filed under: Melitaea cinxia (Glanville fritillary)
Lineage: Eukaryota; Metazoa; Arthropoda; Insecta; Lepidoptera; Nymphalidae
Description: misc RNA ENSMCXG00005001966.1
Source: RNAcentral
UUAGGGAUUGCUAUAGAUUACUUGUUAAUUGGUAUGCUAUUUUUUGCAUCAUUACGAAAAGUACUGAAUUUUGCCAUCUCUAAAAGGAAUCUAACAUAUUAAAUUGUUGGGCAUUACCCGGCGAUAAUAUUACAAUAUCGAUCUUUUGGAAGAGCCAAUCAGCUAAUUUCGACUUCGUUGAGCGUUUUGGCCCAAGAGCUCAGACCUUUCUUAUUUUUAACCGACUUCCAAAAAAGGAGGAGGAUCUCAAUUUGA